GUGGGGAAUAUUGGACAAUGGGCGCAAGCCUGAUCCAGCAAUGCCGCGUGGGUGAAGAAGGUCUUCGGAUCGUAAAGCCCUUUCGACAGGGACGAUGAUGACGGUACCUGUAGAAGAAGCCCCGGCUAACUUCGUGCCAGCAGCCGCGGUAAUACGAGGGGGCUAGCGUUACUCGGAAUUACUGGGCGUAAAGGGCGCGUAGGCGGCUCUGUUAGUCAGGCGUGAAAUUCCUGGGCUUAACCUGGGGACUGCGCUUGAUACUGCAGGGCUUGAGGCCGAGAGAGGGUGGUGGAAUUCCCAGUGUAGAGGUGAAAUUCGUAGAUAUUGGGAAGAACACCGGUGGCGAAGGCGACCACCUGGCUCGGUUCUGACGCUGAGGCGCGACAGCGUGGGGAGCAAACAGGAUUAGAUACCCCUGUAGUCC
This 424-nucleotide ribosomal RNA is filed under the name uncultured bacterium. RNAcentral describes it as "partial 16S ribosomal RNA". It matches the Rfam family "Bacterial small subunit ribosomal RNA", at positions 354 to 796 of the family's 1533-position model. The record is from RNAcentral.